RNAcentral lists this long non-coding RNA (662 nucleotides) under Lathyrus oleraceus (garden pea). RNAcentral's name for it is "Pisum sativum (pea) long non-coding RNA (PSAT_LNC025295)". The record is from RNAcentral. Lineage: Eukaryota; Viridiplantae; Streptophyta; Magnoliopsida; Fabales; Fabaceae.
UUUUCCAGAAUUUUUGGAUGAGUGGUUUUUUAAAUGGCCUUAGGGUUUGUGACAUGUGACCAAAUUUUGUACACUUUGCCAAAUCAAUUGUGAAAUGAUGAGAAUGUAUCCAAUGGCUCCCAAAUUUUUUGUGCUUAAACUAGACACACUCAUGGUGAUUUUGGUGUAGAGUUUGUGAAUUUAUCAUUGCUGGUUUGUGAGUUAUGAAUUUUUGAAUUAGGGUGUGACAAUUUGUGUCACACCAUUGAUGUCCAACUUCAUGAUUUUCAUUACCAUGCUUCCUUACAUCCAAAUGACCCCAAAUUUUGCAUGAACCUACUCUUGUAUGUCUAGUUGACUUGUGAAUUUUCUUGGAUUUAAUUGAACUAUUUUCCAUUUGUUUGAGAUUUUUCUCCCCUGCUUGGUCAUAUGUUGACUUUGUGUGACACAUGUUCCCAUUUCAUUUGUGAAAUUCUCAUACUUUAUUGGAUGGACAUGAAAUUUUACAUGAGAUAACUAGACAUCCUCAUCUUUACCAUGGUUUUAGUCCCAUUCAUUUAUCAUACACCAUCUCUGAUUUAUGAUUUUUCUAAGUUGAUGCAUGUUUGGUUGACUUCAUUGAGCAUGUUCAAAAUUGCCUUGACUUUCUGAUUUUCAUUGACUGCCUUCCACUUGUCCAAAUG